CUUGCUUCUCUGCCUUUUGGCUAAGAUCCAGUGUAGUAUCUGUUCUUAUCAGCAUAAUAUCUGAUACAUCCUCUAUCCGAGGACAAUAUAUGAAAUGGACUUUUGGAACAGGGAGAUGGAAUAGGAGCUUGCUCCAUCCACUCCAUGCAUUGAUCUGGUAUUGCAGUACCUCCAGGAAGGGUGCACCCUCU
Molecule: small nuclear RNA, 191 nt
Organism: Echinops telfairi (small Madagascar hedgehog)
Lineage: Eukaryota; Metazoa; Chordata; Mammalia; Afrosoricida; Tenrecidae
Gene: U2
Rfam family: U2 spliceosomal RNA
About the family: U2 is a small nuclear RNA (snRNA) component of the spliceosome (involved in pre-mRNA splicing). Complementary binding between U2 snRNA (in an area lying towards the 5' end but 3' to hairpin I) and the branchpoint sequence (BPS) of the intron results the bulging out of an unpaired adenosine, on the BPS, which initiates a nucleophilic attack at the intronic 5' splice site, thus starting the first of two transesterification reactions that mediate splicing.
Source: Ensembl